RNAcentral lists this long non-coding RNA (677 nucleotides) under Trifolium pratense (red clover). RNAcentral's name for it is "long non-coding RNA (TPRA_LNC012360)". The record is from RNAcentral. Lineage: Eukaryota; Viridiplantae; Streptophyta; Magnoliopsida; Fabales; Fabaceae.
CAACUCAAAAGUACAACAGCUAGACCCAAAAAUAGCCGCCCUAUCAAGCAUAUGAACAACCAUAUUCGUUUGUCGCUUUAUAAACUUUAUCACAAAGUUUGGAUUUGACAUCAAAACACGCUUAAUAUUACAAAAUUUUGAUUUAAUGAUAAUUCUAAUUUCAAUAACUGGCCGGGGUUUUCACACUAUAAAGUGAUCAUACAAUUAUCAAAUUUUACAAGCAAACAAAGCAAAUUAUGGCUAAAAUUCUCAAGUUUUUUCAAAUUAUGUUUACUUUUCUUUUUAUAUUUACCAUUGUAAUCGAAUGCCUCCCUGGUAAGAUAUUUUCUUUAUCUUCAAUUUUUCAUUAUAUGUUUCAUUCCCUAUUAUUAACAUUAGUUUUUUCUUAUUUGACAUCACAGAAUAUAAUCACUUUCAUAAGUGUUAUAAUGACAAUUCUUGCCCUAAAACUAUGUGUAUACCUCCUAGAGUUCCAAAGUGCAUAAGGAAGUCUUGUCGAUGUAUUUAGAAUUGAAUCCCAUCCUCGACAAUUAUAAAAAUGACUAUUAGUGCUACCAUUGUUGAUAAUAAUUUUGCCUUCUCCACUUUUUGAUCAAGUUCAAAAAUAUAUUUGUGGUACUUCUAAAAGUAUAAUUUUAUAUGUAAUUGUAAUGUUGGUACUUUUAUGCUUUAUUUCA